RNAcentral lists this ribosomal RNA (405 nucleotides) under uncultured bacterium. RNAcentral's name for it is "bacterial SSU rRNA". It matches the Rfam family "Bacterial small subunit ribosomal RNA", at positions 355 to 774 of the family's 1533-position model. The record is from RNAcentral.
UAGGGAAUAUUGCGCAAUGGGGGAAACCCUGACGCAGCGACGCCGCGUGAGUGAUGAAGGCCUUCGGGUCGUAAAGCUCUGUCGUAUGGGACUAACAAAAUGAAGGUACCAUGCAAGAAAGGAUCGGCUAACUUCGUGCCAGCAGCCGCGGUAAGACGAGGGAUCCUAGCGUUGUUCGGAAUUAUUGGGCGUAAAGCGGGUGUAGGCGGACUUAUAAGUCAGGUGUGAAAUCCCAGGGCUCAACCCUGGAAGUGCACUUGAUACUGCAAGUCUUGAAUGUGGUAGAGGUUACUGGAAUUCUUGGUGUAGUGGUGAAAUACGUAGAUAUCAAGAGGAACACCGGAGGCGAAGGCGGGUAACUGGGCCAACAUUGACGCUGAGACCCGAAAGCGUGGGGAUCAAACA